UACGGAGGGGGCUAGCGUUGUUCGGAAUUACUGGGCGUAAAGCGCGCGUAGGCGGGCUGUUAAGUCGGGGGUGAAAUCCCGGGGCUCAACCCCGGAAUGGCCUUCGAUACUGGCAGUCUUGAGGUCGGGAGAGGUGAGUGGAAUUCCGAGUGUAGAGGUGAAAUUCGUAGAUAUUCGGAGGAACACCAGUGGCGAAGGCGGCUCACUGGCCCGAUACUGACGCUGAGGUGCGAAAGCGUGGGGAGCAAACAGG
RNAcentral lists this ribosomal RNA (253 nucleotides) under uncultured bacterium. RNAcentral's name for it is "partial 16S ribosomal RNA". It matches the Rfam family "Bacterial small subunit ribosomal RNA", at positions 524 to 776 of the family's 1533-position model. The record is from RNAcentral.